GAUGAACGCUAGCGGCAGGCCUAACACAUGCAAGUCGAGGGAGGAGCUUUCGGGCUUCGACCGGCGUACGGGUGCGUAACGCGUAUACAAUCUGCCUUUCACAUAGGGAUAGCCCGAAGAAAUUUGGAUUAAUACCUAAUGGUAUAUAAGUGUGGCAUCACAUUUAUAUUAAAGCUGAGGCGGUGAAAGAUGAGUAUGCGUUCUAUUAGCUAGUUGGAGAGGUAACGGCUCCCCAAGGCUACGAUAGAUAGGGGUUCUGAGAGGGAUAUCCCCCACACUGGUACUGAGAUACGGACCAGACUCCUACGGGAGGCAGCAGUGAGGAAUAUUGGACAAUGGUCGGAAGACUGAUCCAGCCAUGCCGCGUGCAGGAAGACGGCCUUAUGGGUUGUAAACUGCUUUUGCAGGGGAAGAAUAAGGAGUACGUGUACUUUGAUGACGGUACUCUGCGAAUAAGCAUCGGCUAACUCCGUGCCAGCAGCCGCGGUAAUACGGAGGAUGCGAGCGUUAUCCGGAAUCAUUGGGUUUAAAGGGUCCGUAGGCGGGCUAAUAAGUCAGAGGUGAAAGCGCUCAGCUCAACUGAGCAACUGCCUUUGAAACUGUUAGUCUUGAAUGGUUGUGAAGUAGUUGGAAUGUGUAGUGUAGCGGUGAAAUGCUUAGAUAUUACACAGAACACCGAUAGCGAAGGCAUAUUACUAACAAUUAAUUGACGCUGAUGGACGAAAGCGUGGGGAGCGAACAGG
Molecule: ribosomal RNA, 743 nt
Filed under: uncultured Capnocytophaga sp.
Lineage: Bacteria; Pseudomonadati; Bacteroidota; Flavobacteriia; Flavobacteriales; Flavobacteriaceae
Description: bacterial SSU rRNA
Rfam family: Bacterial small subunit ribosomal RNA
Source: RNAcentral